GAUGAACGCUGGCGGCGUGCCUAAUACAUGCAAGUCGAGCGAACAGACGAGGAGCUUGCUCCUCUGACGUUAGCGGCGGACGGGUGAGUAACACGUGGAUAACCUCCCUAUAAGACUGGUAUAACUUCGGGACACCGGAGCUAAUACCGGAUAACAUGCUGAACCGCAUGGUUCAACAGUGAAAUACGGUCUUGCUGUCACUUAUAGAUGCUUCCGCGCCGUAUUAGCUAGUUGGUAAGUUAACGGCUUACCAAGGCAACGAUGCGUAGCCGACGGGAGAGAGGGAUCGGCCACAUUGGAAGUGAGACACGGACAAUAGUACUAAGGGAGGGAGCAGUCGGGAAUCUUCCGCAGUGGGCGAGAUCCUGACGGAGCAACGCGGCGUGAGUGAAGAAAGUCUUGGGAUCGUAAAACUCUGUUAUUAGGGAAGAACAAAUGUGUAAGUAAAUAUGCACGUCUUGACGGUACCUAAUCAGAAAGCCACGGCUAACUACGUG
This 497-nucleotide ribosomal RNA is filed under the name uncultured bacterium. RNAcentral describes it as "partial 16S ribosomal RNA". It matches the Rfam family "Bacterial small subunit ribosomal RNA", at positions 28 to 507 of the family's 1533-position model. The record is from RNAcentral.